GAUGAACGCUGGCGGCGUGCCUAAUACAUGCCAGUCGAGCGAACAGACGAGGAGCUUGCUCCUCUGACGUUAGCGGCGGACGGGUGAGUAACACGUGGAUAACCUACCUAUAAGACUGGGAUAACUUCGGGAAACCGGAGCUAAUACCGGAUAAUAUAUUGAACCGCAUGGUUCAAUAGUGAAAGACGGUUUUGCUGUCACUUAUAGAUGGAUCCGCGCCGCAUUAGCUAGUUGGUAAGGUAACGGCUUACCAAGGCAACGAUGCGUAGCCGACCUGAGAGGGUGAUCGGCCACACAGGAACUGAGACACGGUCCAGACUCCUACGGGAGGCAGCAGUAGGGAAUCUUCCGCAAUGGGCGAAAGCUUGACGGAGCAACGCCGCGUGAGUGAUGAAGGUCUUCGGAUCGUAAAACUCUGUUAUUAGGGAAGAACAAAUGUGUAAGUAACUAUGCACGUCUGGACGGUACCUAAUCAGAAAGCCACGGCUAACUAAGC
This 496-nucleotide ribosomal RNA is filed under the name uncultured bacterium. RNAcentral's name for it is "partial 16S ribosomal RNA". It matches the Rfam family "Bacterial small subunit ribosomal RNA", at positions 28 to 506 of the family's 1533-position model. The record is from RNAcentral.